ACCUGUCCUUAGUACGAGAGGACCGGGAUGGACGUACCUCUGGUGUACCAGUUGUCCUGCCAAGGGCAUGGCUGGGUAGCUAUGUACGGAAUGGAUAAGCGCUGAAAGCAUCUAAGCGCGAAGCCAACUUCAAGAUAAGAUUUCCCACCGCAAGGGUAAGACCCCAGAAAGACUAUCUGGUUGAUAGGUCGAAGGUGUAAGUGCAGCAAUGUAUUUAGCUUAUCGAUACUAAUAGGUCGAGGACUUGACCAA
Molecule: ribosomal RNA, 252 nt
Filed under: Clostridioides difficile
Lineage: Bacteria; Bacillati; Bacillota; Clostridia; Peptostreptococcales; Peptostreptococcaceae
Description: partial 23S ribosomal RNA
Rfam family: Bacterial large subunit ribosomal RNA
Source: RNAcentral